UCGACCUCAAAUCAGGUAGGAAUACCCGCUGAACUUAAGCAUAUCAAUAAGCGGAGGAAAAGAAACCAACAGGGAUUGCCUCAGUAGCGGCGAGUGAAGCGGCAAGAGCUCAGAUUUGAAAUCGUGCUUUGCGGCACGAGUUGUAGAUUGCAGGUUGGAGUCUGUGUGGAAGGCGGUGUCCAAGUCCCUUGGAACAGGGCGCCCAGGAGGGUGAGAGCCCCGUGGGAUGCCGGCGGAAGCAGUGAGGCCCUUCUGACGAGUC
This 262-nucleotide ribosomal RNA is filed under the name uncultured eukaryote. Its description in RNAcentral is "partial 28S ribosomal RNA". It matches the Rfam family "Eukaryotic large subunit ribosomal RNA", at positions 1 to 266 of the family's 3401-position model. The record is from RNAcentral.